Molecule: unclassified non-coding RNA, 565 nt
Filed under: Hevea brasiliensis (rubber tree)
Lineage: Eukaryota; Viridiplantae; Streptophyta; Magnoliopsida; Malpighiales; Euphorbiaceae
Source: RNAcentral
GUUGGAAAAAAAAAUGAGAGAGCAAUAAGAAUAUUUUGAUAUUUAACCUGAAUUAUAUGCUAGUUUUACAUAUUAUGAACAUAUACAAUCCUUCAUCGAGUGCCAUGCAUAUAGUUUUCUUACAUUUUUCCAGCAAGUCUAUUUUCUACAUAUAACAAACAAAUGAUUUCAGGAGGGUGUCACAGUUCCACAAUAAUAUUUUAAAUAUAUUUCAUAAAUUAAGAAAAUAUGCAGACCCACAUCUUUAUGAUAUAUUUUGCGGGAGACACUUGCUAUUACUAUUAUAAUUUCUUUUCAAUUAUUCCUCAUUUUAAAGCUUUACAUUUAUUAAUUUGUUGUUAUAUAUGAAAAGUAUGUGAAUUAUUAUAUUUAUUAAUAAUUCAUAACAUACUGUUCAGCCCUAACACAAAUAAUUAGUUGUUAAAACUUUACUAGUGGCUCAAAUCCAACAGUUUAACUAACGUAACUUGAUUGUCACCUCUAAAUUUAGUCAAAGCACAAAAUAGAUGCCAUGUAAUUAAUUAAGGGAAAGAAUGCUUACUCCUUCAAAGAGGCCUUCAAGCUU